RNAcentral lists this transfer RNA (75 nucleotides) under Liniparhomaloptera disparis disparis. RNAcentral describes it as "partial tRNA-Pro". The record is from RNAcentral. Lineage: Eukaryota; Metazoa; Chordata; Actinopteri; Cypriniformes; Gastromyzontidae.
UAGUGCCAGAAAAAAGAGAUUUUAACUCUCACCCCUGGCUCCCAAAGCCAGAAUUCUAAAUUAAACUAUUUUCUG